This 77-nucleotide transfer RNA is filed under the name Clostridia bacterium. RNAcentral's name for it is "tRNA-Val". It matches the Rfam family "tRNA". From Rfam's summary of the family: Transfer RNA (tRNA) molecules are approximately 80 nucleotides in length. Their secondary structure includes four short double-helical elements and three loops (D, anti-codon, and T loops). The record is from RNAcentral. Lineage: Bacteria; Bacillati; Bacillota; Clostridia.
GGGCGAUUAGCUCAGCUGGUUAGAGUACCACGUUGACAUCGUGGGGGUCACUGGUUCAAGUCCAGUAUCGCCCACCA